Molecule: long non-coding RNA, 319 nt
Filed under: Rattus norvegicus (Norway rat)
Lineage: Eukaryota; Metazoa; Chordata; Mammalia; Rodentia; Muridae
Description: long non-coding RNA NONRATT009566
Source: RNAcentral
CAAUAUCUGCAAGGAGGCCAGUAUGCAGCCAGCACUGCCCAGUAUGCUCCUGGUCCCGGGCAGCCCCCUGGCCCUGCCUCCUCCUACGCAGGACACAGACUCCCCCUGCAGCAGGGCAUGGCCCAGUCCCUGUCUGCCCCUGGCCCCACAGGACUGCAUUACAAGCCCACAGAGCAGUUCAACGGGCAGGGCGCCAGCUUCAACGGGGGCAGCAUCAGCUACAGCCAGCCUGGCUUGAGUGGGCCUUCCCGCUCCAUCCCUGCUUACCCCAGCUCCCCACUGCCGGGGAAUCCCACACCACCCAUGACGCCUAGCAGCA